Long non-coding RNA from Culex pipiens pallens (northern house mosquito), 1803 nucleotides. RefSeq lists it as uncharacterized. The transcript is spliced from 4 exons. The record is from RefSeq and is a predicted model, not a curated record. NCBI's taxonomy places the organism in Eukaryota, Metazoa, Arthropoda, Insecta, Diptera, Culicidae.
GCGCGGAGCUGUCAAACUGUUUGCGACCUUGAAAAACAAAACAAAAUUGCUUUAACCGUCUCGGUCUCGCUGCGCUAAAUUGUCGAGUGAAAAUUGAUAUGCUGGUGUGACGAUUCCAUCAGCAUCAUUUCCACCGUCGCCAGUGCACUGUCCCUCAUGGGAACUUGGAUAUCCAGAGAUGAUGGACAUAAUCCUCGAUUGCCAACAUUGUCAAACCUCCGCUUGGCCCGGUCGGGUUGGACGAAAUUCUGAUGGAGGGCAACGAGACUAUCAUCAACGAUGGAGCCCAGCUUAUAGAUUGUCGUCAUCGCCGCUGGGUUGCUAAAAAAUGCUGGCUAGCCGCCGAUCACCUGGCCUCCCUCGUUGGACGAGUUAGGUCGUGAAACGCCCAUCAACGAGCUGAUCCGGAUAAGUGUACCAAAUCCAAGUACGACUUCGCACACCCAAGAACAAGGCCAGCGACGAAUUUGCCAAAUCGUUUUGGAGAAUGUUAUUCAAGAAACCCGAUCGUCAGCAUUACCAAUAACACCAUCGAACUUGAGGCCAAGCUGCCGAUCUACCAAAUUACAGCCAGACCCGCGAUCACGCCGGAUUCUAUCGUAAUAAUCUAAUGUUACCUAAAUUCUACAGGUCUCAUUGCACGUAAUUAUGGAGCUGCAACGGUGACAACAGCGGCAGCAGCCAAAGUAGGCUAUCGUCGGCAGAAGCGCAAGAUCUGCGCGGAUUCCGAGAAAGAAGAAGCGGCUGGUGUACUAUAUUAGUACAACUUCGAAGAUCCGGAUUGCAGUGACAACGAAUCUGCCGAGGAUAUCAGGAGCAACGCGUCAGGUCCAUGGUUCCCGUAGAGCAUCCACACGCCUGGGACUACCGACGAUACUCCUCUCUGUCUGCUCCGGGCUAACCACUACCGGCGAUGUGUUAGGUCUCAUGAUUACAAACGAGCUAGUGUGAAUUGGACACAUAGGUCCAAGGGCCGUCACUACGCGGGGCAGGUCGCGGCCACCUUCGAUGAGAGAGAGAGGCGGAUUCACAAAUCAAGGUGGCGCCCCGGCGAAGAAAAAUGACCAAAUUUGUAAUGUUGUAAUUAUCCGGCAUGGCCUGCUGCACGGACAGCUGCCAGGCUCUCUUGUACCGCGGACGUCGUAGCGACCAACACAAGACAAGAAGACGACGACGAUGAUGAUGAUGGUUCAAAGAUCGAUGGCCAAAAAGCCCGCGUCUUCCGACGUUGAACUCCGCACACGUACAGUGUGUGGUGUGCAUGUGGUGCACACCAAACACACAAACGCACACAAACACGUGUGUGCUCAAAUAGAUGUGCACCGUGCGCGCAAUUUACACACAUAAAUCCCGCGACGGUGAGCGAAACCUUCCCGAAGGGAACCCUCCGCGGGCGAAGAAGUUAAGAAAGAAACUCUAAAAGAAGCAAUCGCGGUAAAGGUAAAGAAAGCAACAAGAAAAGCUGAACAAAAAAAACCUAAGAAAAACUAAAACGAGAUAAACUAAAAUGCAAGUAAUCGCUAAAACGCUGAAAAAGAACAACACAGAAAUAAAAAGAACAGCAAACAAAAAGAAAGGAAACAAAACUCGCGAAUCGUACCAACUAAAAAAAAAAACUAGUCAAAAAAGACCCUUAAACGCGAAUUUGCUGUGUGCUCGCGCGAACAGCACAACAACUGGACUAACGAGUUUGCCGCUGUGGCCAAGACUGACGGCCGGCGAUCGUGCGCUCGAGACCGCGGACGGCGGACGGAGAAUUGAAUGAACGCCUGCAGCGGCAGACGGGCACUCAGGACCGGUUGG